This 450-nucleotide ribosomal RNA is filed under the name uncultured bacterium. RNAcentral's name for it is "partial 16S ribosomal RNA". It matches the Rfam family "Bacterial small subunit ribosomal RNA", at positions 355 to 799 of the family's 1533-position model. The record is from RNAcentral.
UGGGGAAUAUUGCACAAUGGGCGCAAGCCUGAUGCAGCCAUGCCGCGUGUGUGAAGAAGGCCUCGGGUUGUAAAGCACUUUCAGCGAGAGGAAGGUGGUGAACUUAAUACGUUCAUCAAUUGACGUUACUCGCAGAAGAAGCACCGGCUAACUCCGUGCCAGCAGCCGCGGUAAUACGGAGGGUGCAAGCGUUAAUCGGAAUUACUGGGCGUAAAGCGCACGCAGGCGGUUUGUUAAGUCAGAUGUGAAAUCCCCGGGCUCAACCUGGGAACUGCAUUUGAAACUGGCAAGCUAGAGUCUCGUAGAGGGGGUAGAAUUCCAGGUGUAGCGGUGAAAUGCGUAGAGAUCUGGAGGAAUACCGGUGGCGAAGGCGGCCCCCUGGACGAAGACUGACGCUCAGGUGCGAAAAGGCGUGGGGAGCAAAACAGGUUAGAUACCCUGGUAGUCACG